ACUUCUCUGAAGCAUCCCACGUCUCCCGAAUAAAUUAACCCCUGGUUGGGGCCAUUUCUUAAAAACAGUGACUGAUCACCUUGGGGACAGAAACGCAGCGACGACCAUCCUCUUCUGGACGUCUGCCUAGCCUACCAGCGCCCCCGAGAUACGCAAGGGAGACCGAUAGCGGAGAUUAACAGCGUUACCUGCAAGAGUGCUGCUACUGCCAGCAUCCGAGAAACCCGAAGCAGUAAGGAAAAGAAGGAGCUGGAGGGAGCGCGACGCCACGGAGGAGCUCAUGUUGCUUGCUACCGGGACAAGCUUCAGCAACAGCAAUGCAACGAGGCUUGGAUGCUUGCUCAGCAGCGCCCCGCCUGGCCGCUCAAGCAACAGGGCCUCGUUUUUUGAAACAGCCAUUGCCCUGACGCUAAACUAAUAACAGGAGCCUGACGUCAAAAGGAUCCAUCGACGAGCGGAUCAUUUACCGGGCUGGGCCCCCAAGUAAAAACAGCAGCAGAAAACGAGAAGAAAAAUCUGGCCAUCGCAAAGUUAUUUAGAAUCCAGAGCCUUUCUGGGAACGAUCAGGGAAGGACCAUAGCUCAGUGGUAGAGAAUGAUCUAAUCUCAUAAAUCUGGAUCAUAAAGAAGAACCCUUCUGGACAGACAAUGGUCAGCCAGGCAAGCAGGGCAUGACGCCACCAGCAACAGCACCUUCUCUUCCAUCAGCUUGUAUUUAGUGGCUCAGCAAUCUCUGAAGAUAUGAUAGACCCAUUCUCCUUGAAUUAGCCUAAUCCCCUUUUAAUGCCUUCUAAGCUGGUGCCCAUUACACCUUGUGAUGGUGGAAUUCCAGGCAUUUCUUUUGUGUUGUAUGUACUUCCUUUUGUGUUAAACUGGCAAUCUGUAGUGUUGUGAAAGGGGGAGAAAAAUAUAUUUGCCCUUUUUUACCAUACAAUUUCCUAAACUUCUGUUAUAUAGAUAUCAUAUAUAUAUAUAUAUAUAUAUCUUGCAACACAAUCCUAUAAACAAAAGUAAGGUCCAUUGAAUAAACCCAUGUAAUUGUAGCCUGAGGCAUUGUCUCCAAAAACAGAUGUCUCAAAUGCAUUAGCCUUUCUUUGUAUUAUGCUUCAACCUCUGGAUCAUUCAGUGUUUUGAUAAUUUUGGUUGCCAUAUCCUCUAUCAUUUCUAGCUCUAAAAUAUCCUUUUUUGUGGUGAGGCAACCAGUACUACACAGAGUAUUCCAAAAGUUACUCCACCAUAGAUUUCUAUAAAGGUAUGACAAUACUACCUGUUUCAAUUUCAGCCCCAUUCUUAGUAAUUUAAGAAUGCCUUUUCCUGCCACCAGACAGAAUUUUUCAUUGAGCUGGCCAGUUCAGACCCCAUCAGUGCAUAUGGGAAGUUUUUUUGCCCCAAUGGGUAUCACGUACGCUUUUUUCAUUGAUUUAACACCACUGCCCAUUUAAAUUGAGCCAUCUGUAAACCUUGGCUAACUCCUAACUUCAAAUCAUUUGUAAAUACCAAUAGCAUUGGUUCCUAAUAUGGAUCCUUGAAAAACCCUGCUGUUUAUCGAUUGAUUUGUACCCACUGAUUUUAGUUCUCAGGUGUAUGCCAUCAGUAUCAAGAGUAAAGAGAAAAACAUUCACCUGAAGUUGAUGCAGUGUGGAUAGGCGCUGAUCACUUGAAAUGACAAUACUUAAUCUUCAUGUUCAGUGCAGGACAUUGUGACCAGAUACUUGUAACAAAGAAAAUAUUGAAAUUACUUCUUUGUAUUAUUGAAACUGUGACUUGAUGAAGUGAAACAAAAAUGUUUUUAAAUUUAGUUAGCUAGGAAUAUUUGUAUGCUGCCCUAUAACCUAAAGUACUCUUGGUAGCCUUUUCUAAGGGCUCACUAGGAUUAAGCUUUGACGUCUGUUUUAAAUGACAGAACUCAGCCCUGAACAUGUGAAGUAUUAAUAAAUAUAAGAAUAUCUCUGAGUGUGUGCAGAGUGAUUUAUUCUUCUCAACUCUUGUCUCACCUGUGCUAGACUAAUAA
Molecule: long non-coding RNA, 2010 nt
Organism: Rhineura floridana
Lineage: Eukaryota; Metazoa; Chordata; Lepidosauria; Squamata; Rhineuridae
Exons: 3
Source: RefSeq, a predicted model, not a curated record